Leptinotarsa decemlineata (Colorado potato beetle) is the source of this 1365-nucleotide long non-coding RNA. NCBI's taxonomy places the organism in Eukaryota, Metazoa, Arthropoda, Insecta, Coleoptera, Chrysomelidae. The record is from RefSeq and is a predicted model, not a curated record.
GAGGCGGAUGUUUGCUACGGUUAGUGGGCCAUCUGUUUGAAAACUGUUACUUCAUCAGUUGUAACUGUGACUCUGUUGUGUUUGUUUGUGUGUGCAUUAUCUUCAAUAAACAGAUAUGGAUCUAAAGAAAAUUAACGGAAUUUCUCUUGUAAACACAGAGAAUAAGAAACCUGUGGAGAAAUUACAAAAUCUUUCGCUAGGAGAGCCGCAGAAAAUUUUCUCAGCCCGAAUCAUGCAGACGAAAUUUGGAAGGACAGUACUGCUAGAGUUGGAGUAGCAUAUAACGUUUCUAUCGCAGAGAGUUACAAAGACCUACGAGGGAUUCAUAAAUCAUUUCGAACAAGAAAAGUACGCCAUCUUGUUCAGAGGACUGAUCAAUACGGGGAAAGCCAAUCCUGCAACAUCUUUCGAAAUUGUAGAAAAUUGAGAUAGUUAUAUUACCCUCCACCCCUCAGUGCAACAGAAACAUUUUUCGUCAAGCUUUCCUUUGAGAAUCAUCUCCGUUCAUCGCUUCACCACAUUUGACCAAGGUUCGAGUUUCCUACAGUCCUUCUACAGAGUAGUACUUCAGGCUUCCUUCUGCAGCGUUCAGCAAGCAUUCAUUUGUGUAUUCGUCGCAGGGAAAAAACAUUUUUUUGUAAGUUGAAAAUGGUGUUUUCAAAAACUUUAUCGCAAAUUGAUAAAUUGCUUGAAGCAAUUAAACAAAAUUAUUCAAGUUCCCUUGCACGAAGGUCGUUGAAUUUGAUUGGUAGGCAUAUUAGAAAAUGUGAGUUGGCAAUGAAAAAAAUUAAAUUUUCAGUUGGAGAAAAAAAGAAAAUUAUUAGCAAAAUUGGGGAAUUGAAACGCAUUAGAUGUAUAAUAAAUGUUAUGAAAAACGAUAAGUAUAUCGGAUCAGGUUUGAAACGAAGCAGUAGAGUUAAAUGGGAAACUGUAAAUGCAAUUUUCCGAGGUAGCACAAAGAAGUGCGAAAAUUUUUGAGUGACGCAUAUUUCCUUUUCAAAUCUAGAAUUUCCAAAAUUUUGAAGGAGAUGCAAUGCCUCAAAGUGAACAUGACAUUCUUGGGGGAUUUCAUCAAAACAUCGAAUGACGGGGAAAUUAUUGAUAGAAAAUAUUUCAAUAUUCGUAAUGAAAUCAUUGAUUUGGGGACAGAUUUGUCUGCUUGGCACAAUGAAUAUGUUGUGGAUGUUAUUUUGAAUAAAAUCGACGAAUUUCAGGAAAGAGACUCUGAUUGGGCAUUGAGUAAAAUUCUUUUGCUUAAGGUAGCAAUCAAUAAAUAUGAAAUGGGUAACGGUGCAUCAUUCAUACGAUUGCCCAAAGAAAUUGCAAACAAGCAUGCAUGUGUGAAUCUUGAUAAUCAAGAUGAUG